GCGAGGCGCGCUGAGCUGGAGGGCUGAUGCAGAGCUGCUCUGAGGGCAGGCCAGCAGCAGCCGGGAGAGCGUUCUGGUCCCUUCCAACCCUGCGCGGUCGCCACGGCGCGGAUGCUGCCUGGAGACCCAGCGAUGCCUCGACCCCAGCGACCUGGGGUCCAGGCAGUGUGUGCUGUACACGCUAUGCGUAGGAGACCCCGGCUCUGGGACAGGAAUGAGCGGCCUGGGGGUGUGGCGGGGCUGGCACUUCAUUCAAACCGCAUCCUUGCCAGCUACCCACCCCGGGCGCACGGCCCUCUCUCACGAAGUCACUUUCCCCACUGAGCCCUGGCGCGGUCUCAGAGCCCUUCCUGAAGCAGCAGUUUCCGUCUGUGAGACAGGGACGCCCCCAGGGCCUCCACGCCGCAGUCCGUCCCAGCCUCAUCCAGCUGGGAGCACAGGUGGGCCGCCCAUGCCAGCUGUUCUCUAGCCUCUUGACGCCUGCGUGGGAAGCAAACGGACCCUCCGUGACUGGGCCUCAGAAGACAACACACCCCGGCCUCGCGCACACCUGCUGCCCGCCUCUUGCUGAGGCCGCCCCGGGGGUAGAGCACUGUGGUUUGGAUCCUGGUGAGCUUCGGGAUGCGAGAGUCACUUCCUGCCCGAGCCUCCGAGUGACAGCGUGGAGAUGUGCCACUCAGUCCCCCCACCAGACAGCACUGGGGUCCCUGCCGUGCAAGCCCUGGUGGCAGACGGCUGCAGAGGGCUGCCUCGCCCAAGGGUCCAGGGUACAGCCCAUCCACAAGGACUAACAGAGGUGGGUGACAAGGGCCCAGCCGCUUCUCCAGCUCGGGCCUGCUCUGAUGGGCCCUGUUAGCUCAGAGCCAACAGAGCUGGACCGGCUCAGGUUCCCAGGUGUGCAUCUCGGCGUGACUCCUCCCUCGACCUGGCCCUCCUCCCGCCUCCCCUCCCACGGACCUCAGCCCACUUCCGGACACGUUCUGCAAGUCCAGCCCCAUCUCUGAGCCGGUGUCCCUGAGAACCCGACUGUGACACUCCCUCUCUGCAUCCGUGAAAUGGGGAGGGUAAUUCCGAGGUUGCUAGGCUUGUUCAGGGUCCCAGUACCAAAGAGAGAGAGCAUGACUUUGGACCUUGUACCCAGAGGUCACCCCCUCUUCCCGGUGAGGACGAGGUGAGGACAGAAAACACCACCUCUGGCUAUGGCCCCCACUCCUCUUUCUGCCCCGCUCCCUCCAGCCCCUACAGGGCUGUGCCUGCCUGGCUCUCGCUCCAACUACCCCCCAUAGUUUUCAGCAUCAGGGCCAUCCACAUAUCCUUGGGGGCUCUCUUCUCUCUAGGGGGAUGCUACCAAAGUGUUCCUUUGCUGGAAUCCCAGCUAAGGAGGUGACACUGAUUGAAGCUUGCUCAGAUUCCGGCUCAUUCUGUGAGGCCAGAGGCAUCUCCAGGAGCACACGCCGGACCAUGGUCCAGAACCAAGGCCAGCACCGAGCCUUCCAACCCUCUCUAAAGAAAAGGUGUUCUUUUCUCUCUGCUCUUAAGAUGGUGCACCGUCGUUACAGAGAACUCCACCGCAGAGAAGAAGGGGUGGAAGUAAAAAUCCACCUGUGGUCCUAUCGGCCAGGGAGGGCCACCGUCAACAUCUGGGUGGUUUCAGGCCGACAUUCCCGUGCAGCUAUGCAUUCUGGGUAGGGGGACAUGGCAACAUGGCUGCAAUAAAACUGCGAGUCGCCCCGUCCCCUUUGAGUCUCCUCCCGGACCGUCUCUGCCCCUUGUCAGUAUCCGUGCUGAUGGCUGUCUAUCUUCCUGCUUUACGGAUGUUCCACAAAGACUUGACUAGGCAUGGUUUGGCCUGGCAGGCAGGCCAGCUGGGUUCCUGUCCCGGAUCCUCCGAGCAUGAAGAAUAUGCCUUUGUGGGGCCAGCAGGUGGCAUGGUGGCUAAGGCACUGCACUCCCACAUGGUCGGUGGCAGAUCGGACCCAGUGGCUUGAAGCUCAUGAUGAGCACAAACGCCAGAGCGGAAAGUAAAGGAGAAGGGAGCGCGGCAUGGCCAUCCCCCAUGGGAGUGAGGUCUCACUUCCCAUCUCUCUCUCUCUCUCUCUCUCUCUCUCUCACAGGUGAGUGCAUGUGCCCUACGGCAAAAACCUUCCAAAGAAAAAGUGUGGCUUUGGGUAAGGGAACCUCCCGAGCUCCACUUUUUCACUGAUUUAAUACACUCUGCAUAAAAAUUGGAUGUGGAGGUUCAGCGAGUGAUGCAUGGAGCAGAACUAGACAAAUGUGAGACAUGAUUCAAUACGAUUCCUUCUCAAGACUCUGUUAGCAUAGACCACGGGGCAAACUCAAAUGCCCACAGAGGCAAUGACGUGAAUGGCAACCCGGUCCUGGGCCACCGCGUCCUUGAGUUGCUGUUCGGAGACCUGGAAAAUGCCAGUCACCUCCUCAAACGACAGGGACUCCUGCGUCAGGCUCCUGCACCAGCUACCGAGCCGGAUUCCCGCAGUCUAGCUUUUUGUUUGUUUUUCUAACCCACUCUGCAAAUACAGGAUAAAUUUCACUUGCAGAAAUAACCCAGGUAUGACUGGUUCUCUAGUAACUUCUAGACAACACCCCAAAUCUAACAACAAAGCGGUUCCCGAACUGGCCGGCCUCAACUCUCCAACCUUCUUUCUCACUACUCGCUGUAAAAUUUGGGCGACGUUCCCACUCCAUGGUUUUCUCCGGGAGCUCUUCCUUUGUGGGCAUUUUUGUCAUGAUACCAACAUCACUGACAGUGUCACAACCAUAAGCACCGCCAUGAUAGUGUCUGUGUUGUGCCUCACAGGUCAUGCAUCGCUUUAGAGCAACGGGGAAGAGCAUGAGUGUUGGAGUCAAAUAGCUUUGUGUUCAAGUCCCGGCUCCGCUGUUCUCUAGUUACUGACGCUUCAACAAUUUACUCAACCUUCGACGUCUCAAUUUCUAAACAUUGUCAGAAGAGAAUCUACACUGAGGAAAAAGGAUGUUUCGAAAUCAUUUGACACCAAAAGCAUUGGGAGAAAAGGAAAACAUAAAUAAAUAAAUGAGACCAUGUCAAAAGUCAAACCUUCUGUGUACAAAGAACACAAUCAACAGUGUGAAAAGAUAAAAGUUAAAUGUGAAGGGACAGUGGCUGGCGUGGUGGUUAAGACACUGGACUCCCACAUGGCCGACCAUGGUUUGAGUCCCAGACCUGGUGGCUUGCUUUCUCACUUCUCUCUCUCUCUCUCGGUUUCUCUC
Molecule: long non-coding RNA, 3249 nt
Organism: Tupaia belangeri chinensis (Chinese tree shrew)
Lineage: Eukaryota; Metazoa; Chordata; Mammalia; Scandentia; Tupaiidae
Exons: 3
Source: RefSeq, a predicted model, not a curated record